This 137-nucleotide microRNA precursor is filed under the name Ochotona princeps (American pika). RNAcentral's name for it is "miRNA (ENSOPRG00000018243.1)". The stretch from base 31 to 105 matches the Rfam family "mir-1247 microRNA precursor family". The record is from RNAcentral. Lineage: Eukaryota; Metazoa; Chordata; Mammalia; Lagomorpha; Ochotonidae.
CUGUUAGCCUCUCCAGGCGCAGCCCCGGCCGCCGGGCGCACCCGUCCCGUUCGUCCCCGGACGUUGCUCUCUGCCCCCGGGAACGUCGAGACUGGAGCGUCCGGACUGAGCCACCUUCGUGGACCCGGAGUGCGGCG